RNAcentral lists this ribosomal RNA (253 nucleotides) under uncultured bacterium. RNAcentral describes it as "partial 16S ribosomal RNA". It matches the Rfam family "Bacterial small subunit ribosomal RNA", at positions 524 to 776 of the family's 1533-position model. The record is from RNAcentral.
UACGUAGGGUGCAAGCGUUGUCCGGAAUUAUUGGGCGUAAAGAGCUCGUAGGCGGUCUGUCGCGUCUGCUGUGAAAACUCGGGGCUUAACCCCGGGCCUGCAGUGGAUACGGGCAGACUAGAGGUAGGUAGGGGAGAAUGGAAUUCCCGGUGUAGCGGUGAAAUGCGCAGAUAUCAGGAGGAACACCAAUGGCGAAGGCAGCACUCUGGGACGGUACUGACGCUGAGACGCGAAAGCGUGGGGAGCAAACAGG